Molecule: ribosomal RNA, 668 nt
Filed under: uncultured bacterium
Lineage: Bacteria
Description: bacterial SSU rRNA
Rfam family: Bacterial small subunit ribosomal RNA
Source: RNAcentral
AGAGUUUGAUCCUGGCUCAGAACGAACGCUGGCGGCGUGCUUAACACAUGCAAGUCGAACGAGAAACCUCGAGCUUGCUCGAGGGAGUAAAGUGGCGCACGGGUGAGUAACACGUGGGUAACCUACCCCCGAAUCUGGGAUAACCUCGCGAAAGCGUUGCUAAUACCGGAUAUUGUCCUAUUGGUUGUGACCUUUGGGAUGAAAGGCAACCUCUUCAUGAAAGUUGUCGUUCAGGGAUGGGCCCGCGUACCAUUAGCUUGUUGGUGAGGUAACGGCCCACCAAGGCUACGAUGGUUAGCUGGUCUGAGAGGAUGAUCAGCCACACUGGAACUGAAACACGGUCCAGACUCCUACGGGAGGCAGCAGUGAGGAAUUUUGCGCAAUGGGGGAAACCCUGACGCAGCAACGCCGCGUGAGUGAAGAAGGCUUUCGGGUCGUAAAGCUCUGUCAAGUGGGAAAAAAGUCUGAUGAUUAAUAGUUGUCAGAUCUGAUGGUACCACUGGAGGAAGCACCGGCUAACUCCGUGCCAGCAGCCGCGGUAAUACGGAGGGUGCAAGCGUUGUUCGGAAUUACUGGGCGUAAAGGGCGUGCAGGCGGGUUGGUAAGUCAGAUGUGAAAGCCCUGGGCUCAACCCAGGAAGUGCAUUUGAAACUGCCAUCCUAGAGUAU